RNAcentral lists this ribosomal RNA (425 nucleotides) under uncultured bacterium. RNAcentral's name for it is "partial 16S ribosomal RNA". It matches the Rfam family "Bacterial small subunit ribosomal RNA", at positions 354 to 796 of the family's 1533-position model. The record is from RNAcentral.
GUGGGGAAUCUUGCGCAAUGGGCGAAAGCCUGACGCAGCCAUGCCGCGUGAAUGAUGAAGGUCUUAGGAUUGUAAAAUUCUUUCACCGGGGACGAUAAUGACGGUACACGGAGAAGAAGCCCCGGCUAACAUCGUGCCAGCAGCCGCGGUAAUACGAAGGGGGCUAGCGUUGCUCGGAAUUACUGGGCGUAAAGGGCGCGUAGGCGGACAGUUUAGUCAGAGGUGAAAGCCCAGGGCUCAACCUUGGAAUUGCCUUUGAUACUGGCUGUCUUGAGUACGGGAGAGGUGAGUGGAACUCCGAGUGUAGAGGUGAAAUUCGUAGAUAUUCGGAAGAACACCAGUGGCGAAGGCGACUCACUGGCCCGUUACUGACGCUGAGUCGCGAAAGCGUGGGGAGCAAACAGGAUUAGAUACCCGUGUAGUCC